RNAcentral lists this ribosomal RNA (382 nucleotides) under Pseudomonas putida. Its description in RNAcentral is "bacterial SSU rRNA". The record is from RNAcentral. Lineage: Bacteria; Pseudomonadati; Pseudomonadota; Gammaproteobacteria; Pseudomonadales; Pseudomonadaceae.
GAUUGGUGCCUUCGGGAACUCUGACACAGGUGCUGCAUGGSUGUCGUCAGCUCGUGUCGUGAGAUGUUGGGUUAAGUCCCGUAACGAGCGCAACCCUUGUCCUUAGUUACCAGCACGUUAUGGUGGGCACUCUAAGGAGACUGCCGGUGACAAACCGGAGGAAGGUGGGGAUGACGUCAAGUCAUCAUGGCCCUUACGGCCUGGGCUACACACGUGCUACAAUGGUCGGUACAGAGGGUUGCCAAGCCGCGAGGUGGAGCUAAUCUCACAAAACCGAUCGUAGUCCGGAUCGCAGUCUGCAACUCGACUGCGUGAAGUCGGAAUCGCUAGUAAUCGCGAAUCAGAAUGUCGCGGUGAAUACGUUCCCGGGUCUUGUACACAC